ACUCCUACGGGAGGCAGCAGUAAGGAAUAUUGGACAAUGGGCGAAAGCCUGAUCCAGCCAUGCCGCGUGCAGGAAGACGGCCCUAUGGGUUGUAAACUGCUUUAAUAUGGGAGGAAACCCCCCUACCGUGUAGGGGCGUGACAGUACCAUAAGAAUAAGCAUCGGCUAACUCCGUGCCAGCAGCCGCGGUAAUACGGAGGGAUGCAAGCGUUAUCCGGAUUUAUUGGGUUUAAAGGGGUUCCGCAGGCGGAUCAAUAAAGUCAGUGGUGAAAGCCCGCCAGCUCAACUGCGGAACUGCCAUUGAUACUGUUGGUCUUGAGUGUGGUUGAAGUGGGCGGAAUGUGUCGUGUAGCGGUGAAAUGCUUAGAUAUGACACAGAACACCGAUUGCGAAGGCAGCUCACUAAGCCAUUACUGACGCUCAUGGACGAAAGCGUGGGGAGCGAACAGGAUUAGAUACCCCUGGUAGCAC
This 471-nucleotide ribosomal RNA is filed under the name uncultured bacterium. Its description in RNAcentral is "bacterial SSU rRNA". It matches the Rfam family "Bacterial small subunit ribosomal RNA", at positions 335 to 796 of the family's 1533-position model. The record is from RNAcentral.